This 440-nucleotide ribosomal RNA is filed under the name Suzukiozyma palmioleophila. RNAcentral describes it as "[Candida] palmioleophila partial large subunit ribosomal RNA". It matches the Rfam family "Eukaryotic large subunit ribosomal RNA", at positions 348 to 813 of the family's 3401-position model. The record is from RNAcentral. Lineage: Eukaryota; Fungi; Ascomycota; Pichiomycetes; Serinales; Debaryomycetaceae.
GUACAGUGAUGGAAAGAUGAAAAGAACUUUGAAAAGAGAGUGAAAAAGUACGUGACAUUGUUGAAAGGGAAGGGUAUGAGAUCAGACUUGGUGUUUUGCAACCUUACUCUCGGGUGGGGCCCCUGCAGUUCAUCGGGCCAGCAUCAGUUUGGAUGGUAGGAUAAUGGCAUUGGAAUGUAGCUUGGCUUCGGUUAAGUGUUAUAGCCUUUGUUGAUACUGCCUGUCUAGACUGAGGACUGCGUCUUUGACUAGGAUGCUGGCAUAAUGAUCCUAUACCGCCCGUCUUGAAACACGGACCAAGGAGUCUAACGUCUAUGCAAGUGUUUGGGUGUAAAACCCGUACGCGUAAUGAAAGUGAACGUAGGUCUGAGCUCUCUGAGUGCAAGAUCGACCGAUCCUGAUGUCUUCGGAUGGAUUUGAGUAAGAGCAUAGCUGUUGGG